Molecule: ribosomal RNA, 253 nt
Filed under: uncultured bacterium
Lineage: Bacteria
Description: partial 16S ribosomal RNA
Rfam family: Bacterial small subunit ribosomal RNA
Source: RNAcentral
UACGGAAGGGGCAAGCGUUGUUCGGAAUCAUUGGGCGUAAAGGGCGCGUAGGUGGUUCUGUAUGUCUAUCGUGAAAGCAUACAGCUCAACUGUAUUUUGUCGGUAGAAACUGCAGGACUUGAGGCUGGGAGGGGCUGGUGGAAUUCCCUGUGUAGCGGUGAAAUGCGUAGAGAUGGGGGAGAACACUCGUGGCGAAGGCGGCGUGCUGGAUCUCUUCUGACGCUGAGGCGCGAAAGCUAGGGGAGCAAACGGG